Molecule: ribosomal RNA, 372 nt
Filed under: uncultured organism
Description: bacterial SSU rRNA
Rfam family: Bacterial small subunit ribosomal RNA
Source: RNAcentral
CAUGUGGUGCAAGCGUUGUUCGGAAUUACUGGGCAUAAAGGGUGCGUAGGCGGUGUCGUCAGUCUGGGGUGAAAUCCUGCGGCCCAACCGUGGGACUGCCUCGGAUACUGCGAUGCUUGAGUGCGUGAGGGGUGAUCGGAACGCGUGGUGUAGCGGUGAAAUGCGUAGAUAUCACGCGGAAGGCCAACGGCGAAGGCAGAUCACUGGCGCGCAACUGACGCUGAGUGCACGAAAGCGUGGGGAGCAAACAGGAUUAGAUACCCUGGUAGUCCACGCCGUAAACGAUGGGCACUGGAUCGUCGCGGCGCUAUGCCGUGGCGGUCGUAGGCAAUUCAUUAAGUGCCCCGCCUGGGGAGUAUGGUCGCAAGGCUG